Molecule: long non-coding RNA, 505 nt
Organism: Vitis vinifera (wine grape)
Lineage: Eukaryota; Viridiplantae; Streptophyta; Magnoliopsida; Vitales; Vitaceae
Exons: 2
Source: RefSeq, a predicted model, not a curated record
UCUUUACACACUUUCCUUAUAUAGGACGAUGAUGUGAAUCAGAACCAACUGAAACGACGAUUACGAAACCUGGCUUUGUCUCCAUUAAAGCUUUGCCAAAAAACCUAGCUUGGAGGUGUUAAGGAUGGGGAGAGGAAAGAUCGUGAUUCGGAGGAUCGACAAUUCCACUAGCAGGCAAGUGACGUUCUCGAAGCGGAGAAGCGGACUGCUGAAAAAGGCUAAGGAGCUGGCGAUCUUGUGCGAUGCCGAAGUAGGAGUGAUAAUCUUCUCCAGCACUGGAAAGCUCUAUGAUUACGCAAGCACCAGGUCCUAUAAGAUCUCAACAAAGUUCCUUUACAUUUUUACUAUUAUUAUCUUUCGUAUUCUGCAUAUAUGAAGCUCCAAUUUAAUUAAGAUCUGUAUAUUCAAUCUCUAUUAUGCUUCUUUUGUAUAUUGAUACUCGAUUUACUGUGAGAUUAGAGGAUUUUCUGCUUCAUUGAUGCAAAUAUGCUUGUUCUCUUUUGAU